This 850-nucleotide ribosomal RNA is filed under the name uncultured Terriglobales bacterium. Its description in RNAcentral is "bacterial SSU rRNA". It matches the Rfam family "Bacterial small subunit ribosomal RNA", at positions 8 to 889 of the family's 1533-position model. Lineage: Bacteria; Pseudomonadati; Acidobacteriota; Terriglobia; Terriglobales. The record is from RNAcentral.
AGAGUUUGAUCCUGGCUCAGAAUCAACGCUGGCGGCGUGCCUAACACAUGCAAGUCGAACGAGAAAGUGGAGCAAUCCAUGAGUAAAGUGGCGCACGGGUGAGUAACACGUGACUAACCUACCCUUGAGUGGGGAAUAACUUCGGGAAACCGAGGCUAAUACCGCAUAACACCUACGGGUCAAAGGAGCAAUUCGCUUAAGGAGGGGGUCGCGGCAGAUUAGUUAGUUGGUAGGGUAAUGGCCUACCAAGACGGUGAUCUGUAUCCGGCCUGAGAGGGCGCACGGACACACUGGAACUGAAACACGGUCCAGACUCCUACGGGAGGCAGCAGUGGGGAAUUUUGCGCAAUGGGGGAAACCCUGACGCAGCAACGCCGCGUGGAGGAUGAAGUCCCUUGGGACGUAAACUCCUUUCGAUCGGGACGAUUAUGACGGUACCGGAAGAAGAAGCCCCGGCUAACUUCGUGCCAGCAGCCGCGGUAAUACGAGGGGGGCAAGCGUUGUUCGGAAUUAUUGGGCGUAAAGGGCGCGUAGGCGGUCGGACAUGUCUUGUGUGAAAUCUUCGGGCUCAACUCGAAGUCUGCACAGGAAACUAUCUGGCUUGAGUGUGGGAGAGGUGAGUGGAAUUCCUGGUGUAGCGGUGAAAUGCGUAGAUAUCAGGAGGAACACCUGUGGCGAAAGCGGCUCACUGGACCACAACUGACGCUGAGGCGCGAAAGCUAGGGGAGCAAACAGGAUUAGAUACCCUGGUAGUCCUAGCCCUAAACGAUGAUCGCUUGGUGUGACGGGUACCCAAUCCCCCCGUGCCGAAGCUAACGCGUUAAGCGAUCCGCCUGGGGAGUACGGUCGC